GCCGCUGUGGUGGAACUGGCAGACACGCACGACUCAAAAUCGUGUGCCUCACGGCAUGUCGGUUCGACUCCGACCAGCGGCACCA
Molecule: transfer RNA, 85 nt
Filed under: Candidatus Woykebacteria bacterium RIFCSPHIGHO2_01_FULL_43_29
Lineage: Bacteria; Candidatus Woykeibacteriota
Also listed under: 2 other names
Description: tRNA-Leu
Rfam family: tRNA
About the family: Transfer RNA (tRNA) molecules are approximately 80 nucleotides in length. Their secondary structure includes four short double-helical elements and three loops (D, anti-codon, and T loops). Further hydrogen bonds mediate the characteristic L-shaped molecular structure. tRNAs have two regions of fundamental functional importance: the anti-codon, which is responsible for specific mRNA codon recognition, and the 3' end, to which the tRNAs corresponding amino acid is attached (by aminoacyl-tRNA synthetases). tRNAs cope with the degeneracy of the genetic code in two manners: having more than one tRNA (with a specific anti-codon) for a particular amino acid; and 'wobble' base-pairing, i.e. permitting non-standard base-pairing at the 3rd anti-codon position.
Source: RNAcentral